This 476-nucleotide ribosomal RNA is filed under the name uncultured bacterium. RNAcentral's name for it is "partial 16S ribosomal RNA". It matches the Rfam family "Bacterial small subunit ribosomal RNA", at positions 28 to 523 of the family's 1533-position model. The record is from RNAcentral.
GACGAACGCUGGCGGCGUGCUUAACACAUGCAAGUCGAACGGUGACGGAGAGCUUGCUCUCCUGAUCAGUGGCGAACGGGUGAGUAACACGUGGGCAACCUGCUCCAGACUUCGGGAUAACGCUUCGAAAGAGGUGCUAAUACCGGAUACGAACUCCUUGGGCAUCCUUGGAGUUGGAAAGUUUUUCGGUCUGGGAUGGGCCCGCGGCCUAUCAGCUUGUUGGGAGGGUAACGGCUCACCAAGGCGACGACGGGUAGCCGGCCUGAGAGGGCGAACGGCCACACUGGGAGUGAGACAGGGCCCAGACUCCUAGAGGAGGGAGCAGUGGGGAAUAUUGCGCAAGGGGGGAAACCCUGAUGCAGCGACGGCGCGUGAGCGAAGAAGUAUUUCGGUAUGUAAAGCUCUAUCAGCAGGGAAGAUAAUGACGGUACCUGACUAAGAAGCCCCGGCUAACUACGUGCCAGCCGCCGCGGUAA